RNAcentral lists this ribosomal RNA (991 nucleotides) under Escherichia coli. Its description in RNAcentral is "partial 16S ribosomal RNA". The stretch from base 1 to 852 matches the Rfam family "Bacterial small subunit ribosomal RNA", at positions 30 to 873 of the family's 1533-position model. Lineage: Bacteria; Pseudomonadati; Pseudomonadota; Gammaproteobacteria; Enterobacterales; Enterobacteriaceae. The record is from RNAcentral.
UUGACGCUGGCGGCAGGCCCUAACACAUGCAAGUCGNACCNAGGCACCCAAUCNNCUUGCUUGNUUCGCUGACGAGUGGCGGACGGGUGAGUAAUGUCUGGGAAACUGCCUGAUGGAGGGGGAUAACUACUGGAAACGGUAGCUAAUACCGCAUAACGUCGCAAGACCAAAGAGGGGGACCUUCGGGCCUCUUGCCAUCGGAUGUGCCCAGAUGGGAUUAGCUUGUUGGUGGGGUAACGGCUCACCUAGGCGACGAUCCCUAGCUGGUCUGAGAGGAUGACCAGCCACACUGGAACUGAGACACGGUCCAGACUCCUACGGGAGGCAGCAGUGGGGAAUAUUGCACAAUGGGCGCAAGCCUGAUGCAGCCAUGCCGCGUGUAUGAAGAAGGCCUUCGGGUUGUAAAGUACUUUCAGCGGGGAGGAAGGGAGUAAAGUUAAUACCUUUGCUCAUUGACGUUACCCGCAGAAGAAGCACCGGCUAACUCCGUGCCAGCAGCCGCGGUAAUACGGAGGGUGCAAGCGUUAAUCGGAAUUACUGGGCGUAAAGCGCACGCAGGCGGUUUGUUAAGUCAGAUGUGAAAUCCCCGGGCUCAACCUGGGAACUGCAUCUGAUACUGGCAAGCUUGAGUCUCGUANANGGGGGUANAAUUCCAGGUGUAGCGGUGAAAUGCGUANAGAUCUGGAGGAAUACCGGUGGCGAANGCGGCCCCCUGGACNAANACUGACGCUCAGGUGCGAAAGCGUGGGGGAGCAACAGGAUUANAUACCCUGGUAGUCCNCNCCGUAACNAUGUCCACUUGGAAGUUGUGCCCUUGAGGCGUGGCUUCCGGAACUANCNNUUUAAUCCACCCNUGGGGAUUCCGCCNCAGGNUNAACUCAAUGAUUGANGGGCCCCCCAACGNNGGAACNGUGUUUAUUCUAUGCACCCAAAACUUUCUGNNUNAAUCNANAAUUNCAAAAGANUGNCCUCGAACUGGAANAGGCUUUGU